UGGGGAAUUUUGGACAAUGGGCGCAAGCCUGAUCCAGCAAUGCCGCGUGAGUGAAGAAGGCCUUCGGGUUGUAAAGCUCUUUUGUCAGGGAAGAAACGGCAGUUUCUAAUACAGAUUGCUAAUGACGGUACCUGAAGAAUAAGCACCGGCUAACUACGUGCCAGCAGCCGCGGUAAUACGUAGGGUGCAAGCGUUAAUCGGAAUUACUGGGCGUAAAGCGUGCGCAGGCGGUUUUGUAAGUCUGUCGUGAAAUCCCCGGGCUCAACCUGGGAAUGGCGAUGGAGACUGCAAGGCUAGAAUCUGGCAGAGGGGGGUAGAAUUCCACGUGUAGCAGUGAAAUGCGUAGAUAUGUGGAGGAACACCGAUGGCGAAGGCAGCCCCCUGGGCUAAGAUUGACGCUCAUGCACGAAAGCGUGGGGAGCAAACAGGAUUAGAUACCCUGGUAGUCCACGCCCUAAACGAUGUCUACUAGUUGUCGGGUCUUAAUUGACUUGGUAACGCAGCUAACGCGUGAAGUAGACCGCCUGGGGAGUACGGUCGCAAGAUUA
RNAcentral lists this ribosomal RNA (548 nucleotides) under uncultured bacterium. RNAcentral describes it as "bacterial SSU rRNA". It matches the Rfam family "Bacterial small subunit ribosomal RNA", at positions 355 to 896 of the family's 1533-position model. The record is from RNAcentral.